GACGGAGGGUGCUAGCGUUGUUCGGAAUUACUGGGCGUAAAGGGCGCGUAGGCGGCCCGUUAAGUCGGUUGUGAAAGCCCGGGGCUCAACCCCGGAACGGCAGCCGAGACUGGCGGGCUCGAGACCGGGGGAGGAGGGUGGAAGACCCAGUGUAGAGGUGAAAUUCGUAGAUAUUGGGUGGAACACCGGUGGCGAAAGCGGCUCUCUGGCCCGGUUCUGACGCUCAGGUGCGAAAGCGUGGGGAGCAAACAGG
Molecule: ribosomal RNA, 253 nt
Filed under: uncultured bacterium
Lineage: Bacteria
Description: partial 16S ribosomal RNA
Rfam family: Bacterial small subunit ribosomal RNA
Source: RNAcentral